Molecule: ribosomal RNA, 481 nt
Filed under: uncultured bacterium
Lineage: Bacteria
Description: bacterial SSU rRNA
Rfam family: Bacterial small subunit ribosomal RNA
Source: RNAcentral
AAAUGAAUAGACGGGGACCCGCACAAGCAGAGGAUCAUGCGGUUUAAUUCGACAAUAAACGAGAAACCUCACCCAGGCUUGACAUCCCGAGAAGUUGCCGGAAACGGCGAUGUGCCCGCAAGGGAGCUCGGAGACAGGCGCUGCAUGGUUGUCGUCAGCUCGUGCCUUGAGGUGUUCGGUUAAGUCCGUUAACGAGCGCAACCCACGCUGCAAGUUACUAUGUCUUGCAGGACUGCCCGGGUUAACCGGGAGGAAGGUGUGGAUGACGUCAAAUCAGCAUGGCCCUUAUGCCUGGGGCCACACGCAUGAUACAAUGGUCGGUACAAUGGGUCGCAAUGCCGCGAGGCGGAGCCAAUCCCAAAAGCCGAUCUCAGUCCGGAUUGAGGUCUGCAACUCGACCUCAUGAAGUUGGAUUUGCUAGUAAUCGUGAAUCAGCUAUGUCACGGUGAAUAUGUUCCCGGGUCUUGUACACACCGCCCGU